ACGAGCAGUCGAGUACAUGUUUCUGGUCCUGAAUGUUUCAGCAGAGCUAUCAGAGCCGCAGUUAUCCCCCCCAAUUUCAGGUUGGCAACAGGAGUCAGCAAGUUCACUGGUGAGUCUAAGCCUGAAACUUGGCUUGAAGACUACCGAGUGGCAGUUCAGAUCGGUGGUGGGAACGACGAGGUGGCCAUGAAGCAUUUGCCCCUCAUGUUGGAAGGUUCUGCCAGAGCAUGGUUGACUCAAUUACCUCCUAGCAGCAUUUACACUUGGGAAGAUCUGUCCCGAGUGUUCGUCAGAACGUUUGAAGGGACUUGCAAGCGACCAGCGGGAUUGACAGAGUUGCAAGUCUGCGUGCAGAAAACUAAUGAGACUCUCAGAGAGUAUAUUCAGAGGUGGAUCACUCUGCACCACACUAUGGAAAAUGUCUCUGAUCAUCAGGCAGUAUGCGCCUUCAAAGACGGCGUCAAGAACAGAGAACUGAGUUUGAAAUUUGGUCGAACCGGUGACAUGACCUUGAGUCGGAUGAUGGAGAUUGCUACCAAGUACGCCAACGGCGAAGAAGAAGACCGACUCCGAAGCGGCAAGCACAAGCCGAGUCAGUCGGAAAAAGGAAACACCAGUCGGAAACAGAAGCGGAAGGCUGAACCGGCAGCUCCUGGAGAGGCUCUGGCCGUGACUCAAGGAAAGUUUAAGGGGAAACCA
Molecule: ribosomal RNA, 699 nt
Filed under: Triticum aestivum (bread wheat)
Lineage: Eukaryota; Viridiplantae; Streptophyta; Magnoliopsida; Poales; Poaceae
Description: partial small subunit ribosomal RNA
Source: RNAcentral